CUCAGUAACACGUGGAUAACCUACCCUUGGGACUGGGAUAACCCCGGGAAACUGGGGAUAAUACCGGAUAGAUCAGGGAUGCUGGAAUGCGCCUUGAUCCAAAGCUCCGGCGCCCAAGGAUGGGUCUGCGGCCUAUCAGGUUGUAGUGGGUGUAACGUACCUACUAGCCGACGACGGGUACGGGUUGUGAGAGCAAGAGCCCGGAGAUGGAUUCUGAGACACGAAUCCAGGCCCUACGGGGUGCAGCAGGCGCGAAACCUUUACAAUGUGCGAAAGCAUGAUAAGGGAACUCCGAGUGCCAGCAUCUAAUGCUGGCUGUCCUUGUGCCUAAAACGCACAAGAUAGCAAGGGCCGGGUAAGACCGGUGCCAGCCGCCGCGGUAACACCGGCGGCCCGAGUGGUAGCCGCUAUUAUUGGGUCUAAAGGGUCCGUAGCCGGUUCGAUAAGUCCUCUGGGAAAUCUGGUUGCUUAACAAUCAGACUGCCAAGGGAUACUGUCGAACUUGAGACCGGGAGAGGUAAGAGGUACUUCAGGGGUAGGAGUGAAAUCUUGUAACCCCUGGGGGACCAUCUGUGGCGAAGGCGUCUUACCAGAACGGGUCUGACGGUGAGGGACGAAAGCUGGGGGCGCAAACCGGAUUAGAUACCCGGGUAGUCCCAGCCGUAAACGAUGCUCGCUAUGUGUCAGGUACGGUGUGACCGUAUCUGGUGCCGUAGGGAAGCCGUGAAGCGUGCCACCUGGGAAGUACGGUCGCAAGACUGAAACUAAAG
This 770-nucleotide ribosomal RNA is filed under the name uncultured archaeon. RNAcentral describes it as "bacterial SSU rRNA". It matches the Rfam family "Archaeal small subunit ribosomal RNA", at positions 89 to 861 of the family's 1478-position model. The record is from RNAcentral.